AACGAACGCUGGCGGCGGGCCUCAUACAUGCAAGUCGAGCGCGAAAGUCCGCAAGGAUGAGUAAAGCGGCGCACGGGUGAGUAACACGUGGAUAAUCUACCCUUUGGAUUGGAAUAACCUGUCGAAAGACGGGCUAAUGCCGAGUAAGCUUACGAGUUCGUGAAGUUCUUGUAAGGAAAGAUGGCGCAAGCUAUCGCCGAUGGAUGAGUCUGCGUCCCAUUAGUUAGUUGGUGGGGUAAUGGCUUACCAAGACUAUGAUGGGUACCUGGUCUGAGAGGAUGACCAGGCACACUGGAACUGAAACACGGUCCAGACUCCUACGGGAGGCAGCAGUAGGGAAUAUUGCGCAAUGGACGAAAGUCUGACGCAGCCACGCCACGUGAGUGAGGAAGGCCUUCGGGUUGUAAAGCGUCUGUCAUUCGGG
RNAcentral lists this ribosomal RNA (424 nucleotides) under uncultured bacterium. Its description in RNAcentral is "bacterial SSU rRNA". It matches the Rfam family "Bacterial small subunit ribosomal RNA", at positions 29 to 444 of the family's 1533-position model. The record is from RNAcentral.